Molecule: unclassified non-coding RNA, 257 nt
Filed under: Chaetothyriales sp.
Lineage: Eukaryota; Fungi; Ascomycota; Eurotiomycetes; Chaetothyriales
Description: partial contains 5.8S ribosomal RNA, internal transcribed spacer 2, and large subunit ribosomal RNA
Source: RNAcentral
CGCACAUUGCGCCCAUUGGUAUUCCGAUGGGCAUGCCUGUUCGAGCGUCAUUAUCACCCCUCAAGCCCGGCUUGGUGUUGGACCCGUGACCACGCGAGCGGUCAGGUCCCAAAGACAAUGACGGCGUCUGUUGGACCCUCGGUGCAAUGAGCUUUUUCUCAAAGCACGCACCGAGUUGCAAGGACCUUCAGCCCGGCCUCAACCUUUUAUUUUACCAGGUUGACCUCGGAUCAGGUAGGGAUACCCGCUGAACUUAA